This 285-nucleotide unclassified non-coding RNA is filed under the name Hevea brasiliensis (rubber tree). Lineage: Eukaryota; Viridiplantae; Streptophyta; Magnoliopsida; Malpighiales; Euphorbiaceae. The record is from RNAcentral.
UCAAAAAAUGGGAUCAUGGACUCACCUCUUUGGAAAGUGGACAUUCCAGCAAAAAAGGUGUCUUUGGAGUAAGCUGGAGCCCACCGUUCCCGAUCUUCAUACAAACUUCGAAGCCACUCAUGAUUUGCAAUUCCAAAGCGUUGAUUCAUCGCUUCCCAAGCCAUUUCAAAUUCUCAAAUUCAUCCACCUUUAAAGUGUCGUAGAUAGUUGUAUUGAACACCAUCUGAAAUGCUUCAUAGUCCUGCAGUGCUCCUAAAUUCUCAAGAACCCUUUGCACAACAUGUG